This 536-nucleotide ribosomal RNA is filed under the name Klebsiella pneumoniae. RNAcentral describes it as "partial 23S ribosomal RNA". It matches the Rfam family "Bacterial large subunit ribosomal RNA", at positions 324 to 867 of the family's 2925-position model. The record is from RNAcentral. Lineage: Bacteria; Pseudomonadati; Pseudomonadota; Gammaproteobacteria; Enterobacterales; Enterobacteriaceae.
GUGUGUUAGUGGAACGGUCUGGAAAGUCCGACGGUACAGGGUGAUAGUCCCGUACACCAAAAUGCACAGGCUGUGAACUCGAAGAGUAGGGCGGGACACGUGGUAUCCUGUCUGAAUAUGGGGGGACCAUCCUCCAAGGCUAAAUACUCCUGACUGACCGAUAGUGAACCAGUACCGUGAGGGAAAGGCGAAAAGAACCCCGGCGAGGGGAGUGAAAAAGAACCUGAAACCGUGUACGUACAAGCAGUGGGAGCACCUUCGGGUGUGACUGCGUACCUUUUGUAUAAUGGGUCAGCGACUUAUAUUCUGUAGCAAGGUUAACCGUAUAGGGGAGCCGCAGGGAAACCGAGUCUUAACUGGGCGUUAAGUUGCAGGGUAUAGACCCGAAACCCGGUGAUCUAGCCAUGGGCAGGUUGAAGGUUGGGUAACACUAACUGGAGGACCGAACCGACUAAUGUUGAAAAAUUAGCGGAUGACUUGUGGCUGGGGGUGAAAGGCCAAUCAAACCGGGAGAUAGCUGGUUCUCCCCGAAAGCU